Molecule: ribosomal RNA, 283 nt
Filed under: Pagurus bullisi
Lineage: Eukaryota; Metazoa; Arthropoda; Malacostraca; Decapoda; Paguridae
Description: partial 12S ribosomal RNA
Source: RNAcentral
UAAACGACAUACCACGAAAAUCUUACCUAUUUUUAAAUAUGUUUGUAUACCGUCAUUAUCAGAUAACUUUGAUAAAAUUAGUUAUUAUAAUUAAAAUAAGUUAAAUAAAUUAGAUCAAGGUGCAGCAUAUAAAUAGGAGAAAAUGGGUUACAAUAAAAAUGAUUUAAACGGACUUGUUUUUGAAAUUUAAACAAUAAAGGUGGAUUUAAUUGUAAGAUUAUAAAUUUUAAUAUUCUGAUAUAGGCUCUAAAAUAUGUACAUAUCGCCCGUCGCUCGCGGGAAA